Molecule: long non-coding RNA, 959 nt
Organism: Strigops habroptila (Kakapo)
Lineage: Eukaryota; Metazoa; Chordata; Aves; Psittaciformes; Psittacidae
Exons: 4
Source: RefSeq, a predicted model, not a curated record
CCCAUGGCAAGGGGUUUGGAACUAGAUGAUCUUAAGGUCUUUUCUAACCCAAAACAUUAUUUGAUUCUAAGAAAACAUUGUAGGUUUUACCAGGAAAACGUAUUUGACCUGAAGGUCUUCUCCCUGACAGUUCAGCCAGCCCCUAGAGACUUUGAAGAAUUUGAUCCAAUUAUCAUUAGAUUUACCUUGGGAAGGAUACGGACUUAGGUGGUGCCAGAAAUCUUGUGCGGUGAACUCUCCAGGAACUCCUUCCUGCACUGUUCUGACUCCAAAGCCCCAGAAACUCAAAUACCCUCAAUAGACUGCUGUGAGCUGCUCUUUUCCAUACUUUCCUUCACUUGUAGGAGCUGUUUGUUCUGACUCAGCAAUAAAUAGCAGAGAAGGGAAAUACUCUGGGAAUUCAGGUAUAUGUGAUACACAAAGUCAUGCUUCCUGAUUGUGAAGAUGACCACAAAUAAAUCCUCUCUGUGCACCCAGAUCGGAUCUUGCAUUGAAAAUCACAAAAUCUGAAUUAUACAGAGGCUAUGCAGCACUACGGUCUUUGACCAUGGAAACACAGCUCAUGAGGUCUGGAAGACUUCUGGAUCAUUAUUGCCUCCAGCUUCCUCUCCCUGUCUGUGAGUGAGGGGUUAUCACAGGUCAGCUGCAGAAUGGAAAUUGUGGCAGUAAAUUGUGGGGUAUAGACAGACAUAUCCGAGACUUGUGGCACCCAUUAAUAGAUCAAGCAAGCAUGUGCAGCUGUGUUUUGAUCAGUGGAAAGGUUUCCUGGCAUCUGAGAACUGAAAUCACCUUUUGGAUGUGACAAGCGCAUCUGAGUAUCUAGCAAGUGAAAAUCAAGGGUUUCUGUAAAGAAGGAGUAAGAACACCUACCACAAAAAAUUAAAAGUCAUCACACCUCACUGGAGGUUUCCCUGGUUUAAUGAGCAACUCAGACAACCUAGAGAGGACAAGAUGAUGGG